CAGCAGCCGCGGUAAUACGUAGGUGGCAAGCGUUGUCCGGAAUUAUUGGGCGUAAAGGGCUCGCAGGCGGUUUCUUAGGUCUGAUGUGAAAGCCCCCGGCUCAACCGGGGAGGGUCGUUGGAAACUGGGAAACUUGAGUGCAGAAGAGGAGAGUGGAAUUCCACGUGUAGCGGUGAAACGCGUAGAGAUGUGGAGGAACACCAGUGGCGAAGGCGACUCUCUGGUCUGUAACUGACGCUGAGGAGCGAAAGCGUGGGGAGCGAACAGGAUUAGAUACCCCUGUAGUCCCUGUCUCUUAUAC
RNAcentral lists this ribosomal RNA (301 nucleotides) under uncultured bacterium. Its description in RNAcentral is "partial 16S ribosomal RNA". It matches the Rfam family "Bacterial small subunit ribosomal RNA", at positions 509 to 807 of the family's 1533-position model. The record is from RNAcentral.